Molecule: long non-coding RNA, 1273 nt
Organism: Microtus ochrogaster (prairie vole)
Lineage: Eukaryota; Metazoa; Chordata; Mammalia; Rodentia; Cricetidae
Source: RefSeq, a predicted model, not a curated record
GAAGGAACCCGGAAGAGGAAAGAAGUCAGUAGCCAGAGAUGGUGCAUGCCUCAGAUGAGCUGCCCGGCACAGAUGAGCUGCCCAGCACGUAUCUGGGUUGCAUUCAAGUAUUGCAGAUUGAACCCAAGGUCUUGUGCAUACUAGCAAAGCCACCUCUCCGGCAUAUCCAAACCAAGCCAUAGUGCAUCCAGGAUGGAGCAAGCACCCAGCACAGAGUCCGUACGAAGAUUUACUGUGAAGAUGCACGCCAAGAGCUUUAAAAGACAGGGCUAAAACUGCCGCGGGUCACUUCAUUCCACCAACCCAAACCGCAGCCACCUGCCACCAAGCCUUCCAUUACCUGUCUCUGAGGCGCUGAAGCCCCAGCUGCUCCCAGAUCGCUUGCCUGGGAACUUCCCAUCUUUCCAGUGGAGCCGAGAAGAGGUUCAUGGUGACUCACGCUCAGCUAAAACACCCCGGAGCAGACAUCUGAAGCCAGCCUGUCUCUGAUGUGAGCACCCCAUCUGCAGAGAAGACGGACGGAGAAGUCAGUAAGGCAAUCCUCCCCGAGAGCUAGGCGCUAAGCAGGUCCUAAAACGUAAGCUAUGGGCAGAUAAGAAGGCAAGCUGCUUUCGAGUGUGCUUCUGCGUCCAUCUCAGAAUUAACCUACGGCUGGCGCUCCAACAGAGACUGGCCUGGCCUGCUGAAGAGGCCAAACGCCGCUUCUCAUCCCCUCAAGACAACAGCUGUGCAAAAUUCUAUCACCUGAGCAACGUAGAUGAUUGAUCUAAGGGAAGGGCUGUUUUUCCGGUUUCAGUUUUCCAAACAGCAUGACUCCGUCAUUCCCAAACCACUUGCCCCUUAACCCAAAGUCUAAGACACAAGUAACAGGUAGAACAGAGGAAAUGCACGUGACCUUGAGUCAUGAGACCAACCCAGCUCAGCCACGUGCAAACCAAGUGAUGACCCCAGGAACCUUACUCCCCACACGCAGGUUCAUCCAGUGACUCAAAAACACAGACUUUACUAGAUUCGCUCUCAGAACCGAUACAAGAAUGGAGCACAGCCCCCAUAAAAGUCACUCAAAGAAAAGCCCCAGAACCCAUGCCCUGGGCCCCUGCAGACACGCAUGCCGAGUUUUCAUGUUUUAAUGUAAUUCCAGGAAGUUUAGCCAUAGUAAACAUGUAGAGAAACUGGACACAUGGAAUCAGAAACAGCCUCUAUGAUGGAAUCAAGACGUGGCAGCUCCAGGGAUGGGGACACGGCAGCUACAGAGAGAUGGGAACACAGCAGC